UGUUUGAAGCUGUUGGCCCUUGGUGUGCGA
RNAcentral lists this non-coding RNA (30 nucleotides) under Rattus norvegicus (Norway rat). Lineage: Eukaryota; Metazoa; Chordata; Mammalia; Rodentia; Muridae. The record is from RNAcentral.